GUUGUGGCUCAGUGGUAGAAUGCUCAUCUAGCAUGUAUGAGGCACUGGGUUCAAUUCUCAGCACCACA
This 68-nucleotide transfer RNA is filed under the name Marmota monax (woodchuck). RNAcentral describes it as "tRNA.Ala". Lineage: Eukaryota; Metazoa; Chordata; Mammalia; Rodentia; Sciuridae. The record is from RNAcentral.